RNAcentral lists this transfer RNA (86 nucleotides) under Patescibacteria group bacterium. RNAcentral describes it as "tRNA-Ser". It matches the Rfam family "tRNA". Rfam says of the family: Transfer RNA (tRNA) molecules are approximately 80 nucleotides in length. Their secondary structure includes four short double-helical elements and three loops (D, anti-codon, and T loops). The record is from RNAcentral.
GGAAGGGUGGCAGAGUGGUCUAUUGCACUGGUCUUGAAAACCAGCGGACGCGAGUCCCGUGAGUUCGAAUCUCACCCCUUCCGCCA